GUGUAAAUUAGAUCCAAAAAAUUAUAGACCGAUAACUUUAUUGUCGUGCUUGGGGAAAAUAUUUACAUCUAUUCUUAACGACAGGUUGGGGGUUUUCGUUGAUGAAUUGAAUAUAUUAAAUGAAAAUCAAGCCGGCUUCCGACAUGGGUACUCUACAACAGAUCAUAUUUUUUCUUUAUAUGCACUUUUUGAACUUCUCAGUGUUAAAAAGAAAAAGCUUUUUUGCGCUUUUGUAGAUUUUGAAAAGGCGUUUGAUUUUGUACACCGAAAUUCUUUAUUAUAUAAACUCCUUUUGAAUAAUGUAAAAGGAAAG
This 313-nucleotide long non-coding RNA is filed under the name Mytilus galloprovincialis (Mediterranean mussel). The record is from RNAcentral. Lineage: Eukaryota; Metazoa; Mollusca; Bivalvia; Mytilida; Mytilidae.